GGGCCCGCACAAGCGGAGGAACAUGUGGUUUAAUUCGAUGAUACGCGAGGAACCUUACCCGGGCUCGAACGGCUAAUGAAUGAGUGUGAAAGCAUUCAGCUGUCAAAAGCAUUAGUCGAGGUGCUGCAUGGUUGUCGUCAGCUCGUGCCGUGAGGUGUCGGCUUAAGUGCCAUAACGAGCGCAACCCUUAUCUUUAGUUACCAUCAGGUUAAGCUGGGGACUCUAGAGAGACUGCCACCGUAAGGUGUGAGGAAGGUGGGGAUGACGUCAAAUCAGCACGGCCCUUACGUCCGGGGCGACACACGUGUUACAAUGGGAGGGACAAAGGGCAGCUACCUGGCGACAGGAUGCUAAUCUCCAAACCCUCUCCCAGUUCGGAUCGAAGUCUGCAACCCGACUUCGUGAAGCUGGAUUCGCUAGUAAUCGCGCAUCAGCCAUGGCG
This 442-nucleotide ribosomal RNA is filed under the name uncultured Bacteroidota bacterium. Its description in RNAcentral is "bacterial SSU rRNA". It matches the Rfam family "Bacterial small subunit ribosomal RNA", at positions 917 to 1359 of the family's 1533-position model. Lineage: Bacteria; Pseudomonadati; Bacteroidota. The record is from RNAcentral.